GGGAGGUUAUAACCCUUCUCACCCAUAUAUAUAUAACCAAUCUUCUCUUAUUGGAACUUAACAAGUGUUGCUUGAAUCCAGAAUUUAUCCUUCUUAAUGGUCUACAAGUUCCAAGAGAAACACUAAUGAGAAUCCUGUAUAAUUGAUAUUUGAUCAGUCGAUCUAGUUGACCCCUAACUAGAUCUCAUUAUAAACCCAGCUAUCACAAUACUAUAAACUGAAAAAUAUAUAGUAUUUUUCC
This 241-nucleotide long non-coding RNA is filed under the name Gossypium barbadense (sea-island cotton). RNAcentral's name for it is "long non-coding RNA (GBAR_LNC005484)". The record is from RNAcentral. Lineage: Eukaryota; Viridiplantae; Streptophyta; Magnoliopsida; Malvales; Malvaceae.